This 314-nucleotide unclassified non-coding RNA is filed under the name plant metagenome. Its description in RNAcentral is "partial contains 5.8S ribosomal RNA, internal transcribed spacer 2, and large subunit ribosomal RNA". The stretch from base 1 to 105 matches the Rfam family "5.8S ribosomal RNA", at positions 50 to 154 of the family's 154-position model. The record is from RNAcentral.
GAAAUGCGAUAAUUAAUGUGAAUUGCAGAAUUCAGUGAAUCAUCGAGUCUUUGAACGCACAUUGCGCCCCCUGGUAUUCCGGGGGGCAUGCCUGUCCGAGCGUCAUUGCUGCCCUCAAGCACGGCUUGUGUGUUGGGCUUCCGUCCCUGGCAACGGGGACGGGCCCAAAAGGCAGUGGCGGCACCAUGUCUGGUCCUCGAGCGUAUGGGGCUUUGUCACCCGCUCCCGUAGGUCCAGCUGGCAGCUAGCCUCGCUACCAAUCUUUUUAACCAGGUUGACCUCGGAUCAGGUAGGGAUACCCGCUGAACUUAAGC